ACAUAUAUACAUCAUAAUGACAUAAUCAUUCACUCCAUCAUGAUUCUGAACUCUUCAAAACUAAGCACACCAUCACCAUCCAAAUCAAAUCUUUUAAUCAUCACUUUACAUUCUUCAAUGGACUUAGAAUCCCCCAACUUUUUCAACAUCCUCUUCAAACUCUUUGGUGUUAUGUACCCACACCCUUCAUCAUCAUACAUUUCAAAAGCUUCCCUCAAAUCCUUCAAUUUUUCUUCCUCUCCCCCUGAUUCCAUUAGCGCUAUCAAAUCCUCCAAACUCAAUAACCCAUCACCAUCAGAAUCCAAUGCCUCAAUAGCAAUCUCCACUUCUUUCAAUUGAAACUCUCCGCUAAUCUUCGCCAUUCGACUCCUUAAUUCGUUCGGGGAAAUCUUUCCGUCGCCAUCUUCAUCAAAGUAACUAAGAACACGCUCAAAUUCCAUGUUACUCCUCAUGUUAAUUAUAUAUUUAUAUAUUGGUCACAACCAAAAACCUAAAAAUUGGAACAAGUUAAUACAAACACUUGCCUCAAGAUACGUCAAAGUAUAGAGAGUGAAAUUCAAUUACAACAAAGUGUAGUGUUAUUAUACUCCAACAAUUUAAUGAAAUUAAAUAGGAUAUGUACUAUGUAGAAUAUUAUAUAUGAAUGUAUAGAUAGGACUAAAAAAAGAUAGGACUAUAAAUAAGGGAUAGAUACAUUAGGAGUUAUGGACACACUUAUUUUUCUGUUGGCUACAUGAAACAAUGGCUGGUGUGUUAUGUAGUAUUUAUAUUUUGUAGUAUGUGAAUUAUGAAGACGUGUUAAUUAAAUUUUCUGGAAGAGAAAGACGGCAUAAACGUCACGGCAUAUGUAGAGAGAGUGGGGAUAACGCGGGGCCUAAAAUGAAAUAAUUUAUAUUAACGGUCAAAUGGGUUCGUGACUUAGUUAGGAAAUUUUAUUUUAUCAUUUUUAAUUUGUUGGUAUAGCUGUAGGGCGGAGUAGUUAAUGGCAAAUGGCAGAGCCGCCCAAUAUGUAUCCAAACGUGUCGGAUGCCACCGUAGUCACACGGUGGAUACAGACGGUGUGUCGUGCAUUUUAAAUUAGAUUUUUUGCAUUUGAUGCUUAAAAAAAUUAAAUUAAAUUCUUCUUUUGUUUAAGUUUAGGAUUUAAGUCGAGACUCCCUCAAAAAAAAAAAAAAAAGGAUUCAAGUCGAGACAAAGAGAAAAAAAUUAACAUAACAAUCAAUAUACUUACAUUUGUCAUUUAUAAAACAUUAAAAAAUUUAAGUUGACUUAAAUCAAAAAUUAUGAUUGCGUACAAUAUUUUUUAUUGGAACCAAAAAAUGAUAAAAACAAAUCUAUUGAGAUUAAUUAAAAAUAAAAUUCAAAAUUUUAUAGAGAUUAAAAUUAUAUGUAACAAUUUUCCUUAUAUAAAUAAAUUGUCUCAAAAAGGCUGACCAAAAAAAAAAUUGUCUCAAAAAGGAACAGCUCCAAGGUUACUAGUUCAUUAAGUUCCAUACCGUAGACGCGCUUUAGAGGCACCACCCAAACAGGUUUAGAGAUAAAACCAUGAUCACAUAAACCAAAAUAUACCAUGAUUGUCUACAAUUGUCAUCCAAACACAACUUGGAUGACAACUUUUUGAUUAGGGCUUUCGUCUCAAGAAUCAUAAUCCUCAUCUAUAAAUGUGUUAACUUAUAUCUCGUAACACUAUUCAUAAACUUUAAAACCUCAAACUCAUGAUCCUUAACAACUUACUUGAUCUUCAUAAUAUCGUCCUCAACCACUUGUUUCUCUGGCCGUCGAUCUUGGAUCAAUUCAAAUGAUAUGUAAGUAGUCAUGUGUGCACGGAGUAUUUUACAUUUUUAUCUGACGUUGAUCACAAAUUCCAUGUAUAUAAGACAUGACUCUUUCUCUAAAAAAAAAAAAGACAUGACUCUUAAAAAUCGUGGUUGGACCCACUGGCUGAUGUUGAGUUUAUUUUUCGGGGGUACCAAAUAUUUGUAGAAUAUAUACUAAAAAGUUUAAAAAGAUAUACAAUAUUGUAAACUGGUGUGAUGACACAAUUGUAUGAAUGUAACAUUAACAUGAGGGAUGCCAUUUCGAAUCCCACUAGGACCUUUUUUUGGUAUAAAAUGUGAAGAGUUCGCUAAAAAAUAUAAAAAGAGGGUCCCUUGGGGUUCAAACCAAAGCGACCUUUAGUAGAUUAAAAUACUGUAUAACUGCUGCAACACCAACAUAUUACUUGUAAUAUCAGGCCUAAUAUGAUAUUUAUAUAAAAGCUGGGGUGCAGUGGCACUUGCGGGUCUCUAAAGAGAUCCGUCCCUGGUUAACAUGUUUGUGAGGGGAGGGUGAUUGCUCCCACUUAUAAAAACAUAUUCAAGCCAUAUUUUGUCUUAUGUGAGACUCUUGGGCUUGAUGCGUGGAUAUAAAUGGUUGGUGGUCGGAUAGCGGAAACAUGAUAACAUGUGGUCCAAUGGAUCUUAGAAAAGGCUAUGAUAUCAUCUUAGAUAUUGUGGUUGAGUCUAAGACAAACCCACUAAACCAACUUAUAAUGUGAAGAUUGCCCCCACAUAGAAAUACAUAUUCAAAUCAUCUUUCAUUUGAUGUGAGAUUCUUUAACAAUAACAUGCGUAACGUCUGAAGUAGGAAAACAUUACUUUUAAGUUUAAGCACAUUAAUUUUGUCAAAAAAAAAAAAAAAAGUUUAAGCACAUUAAUGUAGCCUACAAUAUUACUGUUAACUACCCAAUCCCAAUUUUUAGAAAUUGCUAGUGUGGUGACUAAUAACGCAAAGGAAGGAAUGUAUACUUCUAAUAUUGUUAUUCUCAUCCAAACACUAUAUUUUUUUUUUUUUUGAGAGCAACACUAUAUCUUUGUUGGUUUUUGUUUCUCCAUCCUAACAUUUUUUUUAGAAUAUAGUUAACAAAUCUAUAAUAAAUAUUGUCUUAAAAAUAUAAAUCAAAACAUUUGACAAUUUUAUCCACUCUUUAUGCAAAAAAAAAAACUUUUUUUUUUUUUAACAUUUUAAAGAAUGUUUUAAAGAAAUUUGUUAACAUUUCUGUUUUUUUACUCAAAACUAUAUCAUUGUUGAACUUCUAUCGUCUUCGCAAUUCUGGAGAAAAAAAAAUCCAAAGGUCCCACAUAAUCUCUUCUUUCUUGUGUAUCAAACAAGAGAAAUUAAUGAUAGUUUAUCUCUUCUUUCUCUUUUUGAGUAUUCUUUAUGGGUCUUGUUAACAAGUGUCUUCGGAUAUAGGCGGUUUCACCGUCCAGCGACCCCGGACACUCGCUUGAACUUGGUCGAUACUUUCUUCACAUUAGACCCAACCAUAGUUAGUAAUUCCUUGUUGUCAAUGGAAUUCGUGCGUACCGUUUGCCGUUUCUUUCCGUACCAAAUUUGUGAAAGCAGCGAUGAAUAUGGAUGAAUAGCUGUUAUGCCAUUCUUUUCCGACGAACCGGCGAUGAAUAUCGAUGAAUAGCUGUUAUGAAGUUGGAACCGGUGAAAAAAUGGAGUGAAACGGUUUUGGGUGAAACAGGGGAAGGUGAAGUAGUUUUGGAGAAAGAUGAAAAGAGAAAACAAUUAUCUACCGGUGUAUGCUUUUCUUUUUCAAUGAAAAAAUAAUAAUAAAUUUGUUAAUGUGUUGCUACCUGGUAGAGCAAAUUUCUCUCCCCGACCCACAUCACCUUAUAAUGUAAAAUAUAAAUUAAAUUAAAUUUUGUCAAAAAAAUAAAUAAAUAAAUAAAUUAAAUUAGAUCGUCUUCUCUUGUGACCCUUUAUAAUAUUUCUUUUUUAUUUAAUCUUUGUUAUAAAAAAGUUUUAUCAGAUUGUAUUUUUUAAGUAUACCAAACUUUGUUGAUAAUAUAGUUAUUAGUAUAUCAAUACCCUUCACGUAUCGAAUACUUUGUAGAUUGCAAAGUGCGUAACAUGUAUCGAACGAAUUACGAACUUGAUUAUUAAGACUAAAUUGUGCAACAAGAUCAACAAUGUGUGGUUUAAUGAGUUGAUGAUAUGUUAUAUUGAGUGAGAGAUAUUCAAGUCACUUGAUGAUGUUGAUAUUAAUCGAACAUUCACCACAAAGAGGAGGUCUCGGGGAGGGCAUUGACAUCCUAAUUUUAUUUAGCACGUUAUUGGUGAGUUAUAUUUCAUCUCACUUGUUUUAAAUUGUACUUUUGUUGAAAAAAUGACGAACCUCUUUUAUUUCGAUUUAUGACUAUUUAUAUAUAUUACGUCACAUGUGAAUUGGCGAUAAAUUUUUCGCCCAGGCUCUAUAGAAUUCCUGGCUCCGCCACAGUCUCCGGGACACUCUUGAAAGAUUUCAAAAAACGAAAUUAUUUUAUAAAAAAAUCAAAUAUUUCGAUUUUCGAUGCAUUGAUUACACAUAUUUUCAUAAUAAAUUACCCUUUAAAGGGCUAGGAUCCUCUCCAUAUUAUAAAAUAAAUAGAGUUAACAAUUUGGAGAUAGAUAGACACAUAAAAUAGAGAGUGUGUCCUACUAUUAAAUGGAUCCCUCCAUCAUUAAUUAUUUUUUACUUUUUUUAAACUUUUUUGAAUCUAUAUCUCUCCAAAUGGAUGAAAUUGACAGGGUACAGACUAGAGAGGAUCUUAACUCCCUUUUAAAGACCUUAACUAAUGCCCAGGGUGCUAGUUAACAUUUCUCAUUCUUUAUUAACAAACAGACCUCAAAAAAUUAGCCUUAAUACAAUAAUUGUAUAAGGAUGACUGAAUUUUGGUGUUUAUUUUGAUUUGUGUAGCUAAGGUCAAUGACCAAAUUUUAAUUAUAAGAGUGUUUCCAUUCAAAAAACUAUAAGAGUGUGUAUAGAUGGGGGAAUGUUUUGAGGGAAUGUAAUAUUUUGAAGGAAUUCAACUACUUUGAGGUGAAUUCUAUUGUUUGAAUCCACUUCAAAAUAAUUGAUUUCCCUCAAAACAUUACAUUACCUCAAAAUAUUUCCCCAUCCAAACACACUAUAAGAGUGUUUGUUUCAAGUUACCUUUGUAUAUUUUUGAGAGUAAUAUGGUAGAAAUAUGCAUUUUGUUAAAAGUUUAUUGUCAAGUAUAAAAUAUUUAUUGUGACUAGGAAAAAAAUUGAAAAAAAAAUGUUGGGAAUCAUGAAGAUGAGAAUAAAUUUAUGUCUAACUAUCUAUUAAUUUCUCUAUUAUAAAGUUUAUCGGAAAUAUUAUAAUAUUAACCAAUAUUUUUUUUUUAAAGCAUGGAAUAAAACUCUUAUCCUUAUUAUAUUCUAAAGAAAGUUAUUUUUAAGAAUAAAUCUAGCAAAUCAUUUUGUUGUCCUCGUGAGCUUAACUCAGUUGGAAAGGACAAUGCAUAAUAUAUGCAAGGUCCGGGGUUAAAACUCCGACCACCACAAAAAAAUAUAUAUAUAAAAGCAAUUUUCGUGUUGCUAGGUUUGGAAUCUGGUAUGGAAGGUUAAAGCCCCUUCUAAGGUAAAUAACUUACUUUGGUGCAGAGGUAGAGAAAAUAUGUGUGGAUUGUCCCACAACACAAAUUGUGUUCUAAUUGUCAUGUCUUUGUUUAAGUGUGAGUGGUUAGUUUCACCUAUUCAUAAAGGAAAAUGAUUCAUAAACACCCUUUUCCCAUACCACUUUUCUAUAUACCCCUAUCUAGCAAGGUAUUUUGGUAAUUUCGCAAACACUUUUUUUCAAUCCUUCCAAUCCUCUUGAGUCUGCAACGUGAAACACGCACUCAUACUUUCUUCCUUGUUCCUUCCUUCUCCUCACUGGCCAUGAACCACCGCCGUCACCACCACCAUCUCUGUUGUCAUUGACCUCACUCAAACGUUCCCCAACGACAACGAUGACGGUGGUUGUGGGUGUGGAUAUCGAUCUCGCUUUCUUGGUCGACAACAACGAUGACGGCAGCGGCUGUCGGUGAGAAUUCCAAAUCUCGUUUUGAGGAGGGCAAUUACGACGAUGGUGGUGGAAAACGAUGUGAAUGAUGAAAGGUGAGAGAACAGCGUUCAUGACAGAGAGAAGAAGUAUUUGGAUUGAUUUUUGGAGAAUUAGAAUAGGUUUUGUUGUUGAUGAUGUGAAAGUGAAGAAAAAUGCAUUGUUGUGAACUUUUAGUUGCGGAUGUUACAACAGAAUUUGGAAUUGAAAGAGUGAGAACGAUUGGUGUGGUGGUAGACUGGUGUGGUGGGACAUGGGAGAAGAAAGAAGGGGAGCGUGUUCUGUGUUGUGAUACACUAAAAAACUUGUGUUUUUUUUAAUUGAUUAAUAAAAUAAAUAAAACAUAGAAUAAAGGCACUUAGAAAGAUUAUUUUAUAUUAGUUUUUUUUACAUGUGGAAGGGUGUAUAGGGUGGUAUGCCACGUAGGGUGGUCCGCCUAUCACCACUCAUUCAAAAAUAUAUGAGAAAUGAUUCAUAUACCCAAUAUAUAUUUUAGCUUUAGAUGAAGAUGCAAUGCUAAUGUCUCUUUCUCUUAUAGUCCUUGAGGCCGGAGUAUUGAUUCAUUGCUUCCGGCGGUCUCCCGGACUCUAAACACUAUGCAUGCAAUGGUAGGGAUGAAGUUAACGCUACGCAAGAAUGGACGGACUAUUGCGAGGAAUGCAAACCAUGAUGUUUGUUGUAUUGCAUGAUUGUAAACCCAAUGCAGUCCUUAUUUUGGCCAUCCUAGUACAAUUACUCUUCUUCCUACUGAACGUGUCCUAAACUUUGAUGCUUUGUUUUUAGCCAAAUUAUUUAUCAUCCCAUGUCCUCAUUAUUAUUUACUAGUAAAUUACAAAAACAAUGAUUUAUAUAAAUUUACAUUGCAUAAAAGCAAUUUAGUCAUACAAUGUACAAAAGAAUGAAUGAAACCAGAAAGACUAUAAGCACCUCACAUAAUCAACACAUAUAUACAUCAUCAUCAUUCAAUCCAUCAUGAUUCUGAAUUCUUCAAAACUAAGCACACCAUCACCAUCCAAAUCAAAUCUUUUAAUCAUCAAUUUGCAUUCUUCAAUGGACUUAGAAUCCCCCAGUUUUUUCAACAUCCUCUUCAAACUUUUUGGCGUUAUGAAUCCACAUCCUUCAUUAUCAUACAUUUCAAAAGCUUCCCUCAAAUCCUUCAAUUUUUCCUCCUCUCCCCCUGAUUCCAUUAACGUAAUCAAAUCUCCCAAACUCAAUAACCCAUCACCAUCAGAAUCCAAUGCCUCAAUAGCAAUUUCAACUUCUUUCAAUUGAAACUCUCCGCCAAUCUUCGCCAUUCGACUCCUUAACUCGUUUGGCGAAAUUUUUCCGUCUCCAUCUUCAUCAAAGUAACUAAGAACACGCUCAAAUUCCAUUUCCCUCUUCAUGUUAACAAUAUAUUGUUCAAUACCACAAAAUAUAAUUACAACAAAGUAAUAUACUAUUAUAGUCUUACAAAUUGUUUCAAACAAAAAGUAUAGUAGAAUGUAGGAAUAUGAUUAUUAUGAAUAUAAUAUUUGUGUUGGAAAUAUUGGAUGAAACAAUGGUUUGUAGUUUAUGGAGUAUUUAUAGUGUAUGGGUUUAUGAAGGCGUGUUAAUACCAUUAUCUGGAAGAUUACUAGAAGCAAGUUGGUACGAGUGUUUGAGGAAGAGAAAAAAAAAAUGGCAUAAACGUCAUGGCAUAUGCAGUUGGGUAGUGGAGAGAGAGAGAGAGAUGAGUUUGAAGAAAUAAAAGAGAGAGAUAGAAAGUGGAUAACGCGGGCCAGGAGGACUUUCUCAAAUAGCCUAGAAAAAAAUAACUUAUAAUAACGGUCAAUUGGGGUCGUGACUUAGUUAGGACAUUUUCUUUUAUGAUUUUUAAUUGUUGUAUAGUUGGCGGAGCCGCCCAAUAUGUAUCAAAACGUGUCGGGUGCCACCGCAAUCACACGGUGGAUACAGACACUUCCAUACCUUGUCAACAUUUAUUGUUUAUUUGUUCGUCUACAGACUGUGGGUCGUGUAUUUUCUUGGUUUGUUUAUAGUGAGAAAAUAUCAAAAUACGAUAUGUGAUGGACUAGUUUCAAUUUUUUUUAAAUUAAAUUAAAUAGCAAUGUGUAUUUGUUCCAUGAGGUAUUUUACAUUUUUAUCCAACGUUGACACCGAAUUCCAUAAAAAUAGGACAAUACACACAUGUAUGCAAUGGGAAAGCAUUAUUUUGAACUACAUUAACCUGGUCGUGUUUUACAGAAUUUUGCAACCAAACACUAUAUCAUUGUAUUUUUUAUUUACUCAAAACCAUCUCGUUGUUGUUGAACUCUUUGCAGCGUUCACACUCUUGAUCAAAUGUGUGUCUGGGUUUUAAUAUGUGUUUAAUAUGAUACAUAUAAUUACAUUAUAUUAUAUCAUUUUUUAAAGGCUAAAAUAUGGUUUUGGUUCCUGCAAAUAUGUCUCGUUUUGGUUUUAGUCCCUGUAAAAAAAAAUUGUUGUUUUUGGUCCCCGCAAAAUAUUUUGUUUUUGGAAAUGGUCCCUGCAGGGACUAUUUUCAAAAUCAAAAUAUUUUGCAGGGACCUUUUUCAAAAUCAAAAGAUUUUGCAAGGACUAUUUCUCUAAUAAAUGGUUCAGUCAUCAUGUGACACGUGUGCAAAUUAUCACAAAAGUGGAGUCAGGGACCAAAACCAAAAUGAGACAUAUUUGCAGGGACCAAAAACAACAAUUUUUUUUUGCAGGGACUAAAACCAAAACGAGGCAUAUUUGCAGGGACCAAAACCAUAUUUUAGCCAUUUUUAAACUAUUGCAAUUAUCGACGUAUUAAUGACUGUGUCGUCUUCGUGUUGGUGCUUCAUAUAUAGGUUGAACUUAUAUUGGCUUUCUACACAACUAUAGAGAGAGGGGGCAAAACUCCGACAUCAAUUUUGUCUAUCGAUCUUCUCUCCAGUUGUCUUGCAAUGCCAAUUUAGGGCACCAAACAAGAGAAAUUAAUGAUAGUUUCUCUCUUAGGUGUGUUUGAUAUGACAACUUCAUUUGUAUAAUAUUUGAUUAUAAAAUGGUUUCAAGGAUAUGAUAAAUUGGUGUGAAAUUCUUGUUCAUCAUUAAACUAUAACACAAUUUUUUGUCUCGAACAUAAAUUGUCUAAAAUAUCAAAAUAGUUUUUUUUUGUCCACAAAAAAUUGUUCAAUAACAUAAAAAUUUGUUUUGUGUUGUUAUGUACGGUACUUAUUUUUUAACUUAUCAAAUGCACCCUUAUUCUCUUGUAGGGAAAAUAGUUCUUGUUGUUCCUGUAUCUUUCUGAACCCUUAAAGUUUCUCUCUCCCUUCAUUUCCAAACUCCCAAACAAAACUUUAAUAUUUUAGGUGGUUACGGAGCAUUAACUCGUUGUUGCUUUCGGCUCUCUCGGGACACUCAAGACUACACAACAAAUGAAAGGGAUGAAAGUAUUCACUAAUUUUUUCACUGUCCUUUCAGUAGACAAUUUUGGGUCAAGAAAGGACUGUUGCGCGUAAUGCAGACAUGCAAACCAUGCUGCUUGUUGUACUGCAUGAAUGUCAACCCCAUGCAGUCCCUUUUGUGGCUAUUAUCAUCAGGUGGAGUAUAUCUAUAUGGCUGGCUGGCAACAAACUCAGCCAUGUUUCAUAUUAUUAUUUAAUUAGUGCUAGCAAAUUACAAAAACAAUGAUUUAUAUAUCCUUUUGCAUAUCAUAAAAGUAAUAAGGCACAAGCACAAUACUCUAUAAUAUAGUAAUUAACUGCUGAACAUGUCCCGAAAUAUGAUGCUUGUGUUUUAUCCAAGUUAGUAUUCCAUGUCUCAUAUUAAUUCCAAAAACAAUGAUAUUUAUAUUGCAUAAAACAAUGAUUAUAUAAAAUUAUAUUGCAUAAAAGCAAUUUAGUCAUACAAUGUACAAAAAAAUGAAUGAAAUUAACCCCGCAGCCUCUGGCCAAAACACAUGAUAUAUAUAAUCAUAAACAUAUCAUCACACUCAAUCCAUCAUGAUUCUGAAUUCUUCAAAACUAAGCACACCAUCACCAUCCAAAUCAAAUCUUUUAAUCAUCAAUUUGCAUUCUUCAAUGGACUUAGAAUCCCCCAGUUUUUUCAACAUCCUCUUCAAACUUUUUGGUGUUAUGAAUCCACAUCCUUCAUUAUCAUACAUUUCAAAAGCUUCC
RNAcentral lists this long non-coding RNA (10008 nucleotides) under Medicago truncatula (barrel medic). RNAcentral's name for it is "long non-coding RNA (MTRU_LNC002353)". Lineage: Eukaryota; Viridiplantae; Streptophyta; Magnoliopsida; Fabales; Fabaceae. The record is from RNAcentral.